Molecule: ribosomal RNA, 451 nt
Filed under: uncultured bacterium
Lineage: Bacteria
Description: partial 16S ribosomal RNA
Rfam family: Bacterial small subunit ribosomal RNA
Source: RNAcentral
GUGGGGAAUAUUGGACAAUGGGGGGAACCCUGAUCCAGCCAUGCCGCGUGUGUGAAGAAGGCCUUUUGGUUGUAAAGCACUUUAAGCGAGGAGGAGGCUACCGAGAUUAAUACUCUUGGAUAGUGGACGUUACUCGCAGAAUAAGCACCGGCUAACUCUGUGCCAGCAGCCGCGGUAAUACAGAGGGUGCAAGCGUUAAUCGGAUUUACUGGGCGUAAAGCGCGCGUAGGUGGCCAAUUAAGUCAAAUGUGAAAUCCCCGGGCUGAACUUGGGAAUUGCAUUCGAUACUGGUUGGCUAGAGUAUGGGAGAGGAUGGUAGAAUUCCGGGUGUAGCGGUGAAAUGCGUAGAGAUCUGGAGGAAUACCGAUGGCGAAGGCAGCCAUCUGGCCUAAUACUGACACUGAGGUGCGAAAGCAUGGGGAGCAAACAGGAUUAGAUACCCCGGUAGUCC